UCAAAAAAUAGGCCGAAUCUCCGGCAGAACCGGAGUACGGGGGAUCAAAUAACAUGGGGUGAAUCCGCAAACCUUCCUCGGAGUUGCUCAAAGGUGCGGUAGGGUGCCCUUCAACCCGAACCCGUCAACUAACCUCGAAGGCCAGCAGAGGGGGAAAAA
RNAcentral lists this small RNA (159 nucleotides) under Desulforamulus ferrireducens. Its description in RNAcentral is "Desulfotomaculum ferrireducens c-di-AMP sequence". It matches the Rfam family "c-di-AMP riboswitch aptamer (ydaO/yuaA leader)". Rfam says of the family: This family represents a conserved RNA structure found upstream of the ydaO and yuaA genes in Bacillus subtilis and related genes in other bacteria. The ydaO/yuaA element is thought to act as a genetic "off" switch for the ydaO and yuaA genes in its native state. It is believed that the element may be triggered during osmotic shock leading to activation of ydaO, a predicted amino acid transporter gene, and members of the yuaA-yubG operon which code for KtrA and KtrB K+ transporters. Lineage: Bacteria; Bacillati; Bacillota; Clostridia; Eubacteriales; Peptococcaceae. The record is from Rfam by way of RNAcentral.